CGGAUCUUCAUUAGCUUGCUUUUGAAGAUCAGCGGCGGACGGGUGAGUAACACGUGGGCAACCUGCCUGUAAGACUGGGAUAACUUCGGGAAACCGGAGCUAAUACCGGAUAAUCCUUUCCCUCUCAUGAGGGAAAGCUGAAAGACGGUUUCGGCUGUCACUUACAGAUGGGCCCGCGGCGCAUUAGCUAGUUGGUGAGGUAACGGCUCACCAAGGCGACGAUGCGUAGCCGACCUGAGAGGGUGAUCGGCCACACUGGGACUGAGACACGGCCCAGACUCCUACGGGAGGCAGCAGUAGGGAAUCUUCCGCAAUGGACGAAAGUCUGACGGAGCAACGCCGCGUGAGCGAUGAAGGCCUUCGGGUCGUAAAGCUCUGUUGUCAGGGAAGAACAAGUACCGGAGUAACUGCCGGUACCUUGACGGUACCUGACCAGAAAGCCACGGCUAACUACGUGCCAGCAGCCGCGGUAAUACGUAGGUGGCAAGCGUUGUCCGGAAUUAUUGGGCGUAAAGCGCGCGCAGGCGGUUCCUUAAGUCUGAUGUGAAAGCCCCCGGCUCAACCGGGGAGGGUCAUUGGAAACUGGGGAACUUGAGUGCAGAAGAGGAGAGCGGAAUUCCACGUGUAGCGGUGAAAUGCGUAGAGAUGUGGAGGAACACCAGUGGCGAAGGCGGCUCUCUGGUCUGUAACUGACGCUGAGGCGCGAAAGCGUGGGGAGCG
Molecule: ribosomal RNA, 720 nt
Filed under: Mesobacillus jeotgali
Lineage: Bacteria; Bacillati; Bacillota; Bacilli; Caryophanales; Bacillaceae
Description: bacterial SSU rRNA
Rfam family: Bacterial small subunit ribosomal RNA
Source: RNAcentral